AUUCUUGAAGACAGCUCGACCGUGAUGGAGGAGACAGGCAUUUAGAAUAAGCAUGAAAUAAAGGUGGCUGUUAAGGGGUCAGCUCCCCUCACCAAAGUCACUUUUGAUUUACUUACAAAAGUUUUCUUAAGAUUUCUUCAGAACCCAGGUCAAAAGGCUGUGGCAGGAGGCCAGGCAGAUCACAGCGUCCAUGCCUAGAUGCUCCCUGACCCCCAGGAACCAGAAGUGCUGUCUCCUGAAGGCUCUGGAAACCCGGAAUCAGCCUACGAGGCACCAGGGCCACCUUGGAGGGUGGAAAUGAGGACCUCAGGCCCCAGAGGGCAUGCAGGCGAGGUGAAGUUCAGGAGAGAUUUUAAGCCGGGUGCAGUGGCUCACGCCUGUAAUCUCAGCAUUUUGGGAGGCCAAGGCAGAUGGAUAACCUGAGGUCAGGAGUUCGAGACCAGCCUGGCUAACACGGUGAAACCCCGUCUCUACUAAAAAUACAAAAAUUGCCUGGGUGUGGUGGUGCAUGCCUGUAAUCCUAGCUACAUGGAAGGCUGAGGCAGGAGGAUUGCUUGAACCUGAGUGGCAGAGGUUGCAAUGAGCUGAGAUUGUGCCACCGAGCUCCAGCCUGGACUACAAAGUGAGACUCCAUCUCAAAA
Molecule: long non-coding RNA, 641 nt
Filed under: Homo sapiens (human)
Lineage: Eukaryota; Metazoa; Chordata; Mammalia; Primates; Hominidae
Description: non-protein coding lnc-PADI1-1:7
Source: RNAcentral